AUUGAACGCUGGCGGCAUGCCUAACACAUGCAAGUCGAGCGGAUGAAGGGAGCUUGCUCCUGGAUUCAGUGGCGGACGGGUGAGUAAUGCCUAGGAAUCUGCCUGGUAGUGGGGGAUAACGUCCGGAAACGGGCGCUAAUCCCGCAUCCGUCCUGAGGUAGAAAGUGGGGGUUCUUCGGACCUCACGGUAUUAGCUGAGCCUAGGACGGAUUAGCUAGGUGGUGGGGUAAAGGCCUACCAAGGCGACGAUGCGUAACUGGUCUGAGAGGAUGAUCAGCCACACUGGAACUGAGACACGGUCCAGACUCCUACGGGAGGCAGCAGUGGGGAAUAUUGGGCAAUGGGCGAAAGCCUGAUGCAGCAAUGCCGCGUGUGUGAUGAAGGUCUUCGGAUUGUAAAGCUCUUUAAGUAGGGAGGAAGAGAAGUAAGUUUAUACCUUGCUGUUUUGACGGUACCAACAGAAUAAGCACCGGCUAACUUCGUG
This 484-nucleotide ribosomal RNA is filed under the name uncultured bacterium. RNAcentral describes it as "partial 16S ribosomal RNA". It matches the Rfam family "Bacterial small subunit ribosomal RNA", at positions 30 to 507 of the family's 1533-position model. The record is from RNAcentral.